UCGGGGUCUCAAAACAUAGCAGAUCUCUAAGGGCCUGCGGAGGACGGGUCAACCAUUGUUCAGUGAGUGCUUUUUUUCUGUGUGUCGUAACUACCCAGUCCGCCACACUAUUCCUAGACCUAUUACAAAACUGCAGUUUUAUGUUUGAAAACGAAGACAGCAACUCACGUGCUUCACUGAGGAGAGCACGAUGUUCCCACAGCAUACCUUCUGGAGACUUCAAGCUGUUGACCAGAUUUAGGCAGUCUGACUCCAGAAUUAGGUUUUCACCCGCACGAGGAGAGAGGAAUUUGAGGGUUUCCACCAUGGCUAGGCUCUAGGCUUGCUCGGCGGAAGAGGCGAGGACGUCCUUGGCAAAGCCGUCGAUCAAGAUCCCAGUUGAGUUGCGGCAUACACAAGCUAUUGAACCUUCAAAGGAACCAGAUUUCCCAGAGGACAACAGAGACUAACUCAAAUUCGGGGGAGUUGUUGCUGCUGGGUAUGUAUUUUAUCAGCCAUUCAUCAAUGCGGGAAGUUUGGUAUUUUGAGAUCUGGAUGUUGAGUGCAGGAACAUCCCAGACUUCCCUCGUCCACUUGCAUAGUAGGAAUAGAUGUUCUGUGGUUUCUGCAUGAACUCGGCAGAAUGGGCAAUUCAGAUCAGGUACCAGUUUCCUUCUGUACAAAUUUUCCUUCGUUGGUAGUGCGUUUUGGCAUACGCUCCAUACAAAGUUUCUGAUUUUGUGGGGAGUUUUCAUUCUCCAUAUCCUGUUCCAGAGUUUAGUAGGAGUUUGAUGAGAGGAGGAGGCAGGCUGUGCUUCUGUGUUUACAUUUUUGCGAAGGGUGUUGUAGCCGCUCUUAACAGUGUAGUCGCCUUCCUUCGUGCCAGUCCAGAUCAGUUUGUCUUCA
Long non-coding RNA from Syzygium oleosum, 885 nucleotides. RefSeq lists it as uncharacterized. NCBI's taxonomy places the organism in Eukaryota, Viridiplantae, Streptophyta, Magnoliopsida, Myrtales, Myrtaceae. The transcript has 2 exons. The record is from RefSeq and is a predicted model, not a curated record.